Molecule: long non-coding RNA, 3427 nt
Filed under: Canis lupus familiaris (dog)
Lineage: Eukaryota; Metazoa; Chordata; Mammalia; Carnivora; Canidae
Description: lncRNA (ENSCAFG00000051356.1)
Source: RNAcentral
UUUUUUUUUCUUUUUUUUUUUUUUAAAGGUUUUAUUUAUUCAUGAGAGAGAGAGGCAUAGGCACAGGCAGAGGGAGAAGCAGGCCCCACGCAGGGAGCCCGACAUGGGACUCGAUCCCGGGACUACGGGGUCACGCCCUGGGCCAAGUCGGUGCUAAACUGCUGAGCCACCCGGGGAUUCCCCCCCCCUUUUUUUUUCAAUUCCUCGGUGUUGAGAAUGAAACAAACCCCUAAAAUGCUAUGGCAAAUUAAAAUAGGUCCUUCAUAAUAGCACUAGGCUCAUGACACUCAAUAGCUUGAGUAAAAGUGAGCCCGCAUUGAAAAACAACACACACAGUCAAGCCCUAUUUGGUUAGUGACAUUUAUUUCCCUGUCAGUUGUCAGAUUGAAGAGGGGCUUUUAAUUUAGUGGAAUAGACAAAGGGAAGGUUGAGAACCCUAGGGGGGUAAGCAGGGCUGGCUUUAUGAGAGUACAGCUGGUGCAGUAGCACAGAGAGCCCCUGCUCACAGGGGCCCUCACUUGGCUUAAUGUUUUAUAUUGUCAUCUUGAGAUUCUUAAUAAUUCUUGAGCAAGAAUUUUUUAUUUUGCACUGAAUCUCACAAAUUAUUUAGCUUGGUGCUAGGAACAAAGGCGGGAAGUGGUAUAGAAAUGACAUUAAUAAAACACCUCUAUGUCCAGCACAGGGCUAAAAGCUUAAAACAUGAUCUCAUUCAACAUGCCCUAGAAGGUAGGUAUCAUCAUUCACAUUUUACCAAAAAUGAAACAGGCCAGCAGAGACUAAGGGCUUACUUACUCAAGACUAUUAAUUUAGUAAUGGUAAAUCAAUUUGUCACAGUUCUCCAUAGAGAAGAAUUUGUUUUUGUUUUUGUUUUUUAAGAUUUUAUUUAUUUAUUCAUGAGAGACACAGAGAGAGAGAGGCAGAGACCCAGGCAGAGGGAGAAGCAGGCUCCAUGCAGGGAGCCCGACAGGGGACUCUAUCCCGGGACCCUGGGGUCACGCCCUGGGGCUGAAGGCGGCGCUAAACCGCUGAGCCACCUGGGCUACCCAUAGAGAAGAAUUUGUUAAUAAUGUUUCUUCCAUAUAGGAAUCACUCUCUCUGCCCAUUUUCCUUGGUGCUUCAAAUACCAGAUAACUUGAAGUAGGGAAAAUAAACAUCCCUUGCAUAUAUUAAGAUGCAUGAAAUACAGUUUAUACGAGCUGAUAUGUGUUUCUUUGUUGUGCAAUGAAUUAGGAAGUGAUUUUUUUUAUUCUAUAAAUCCCAUCCUCAGUUUUCAUUACCUAGUUCUAAUCUAGGAUAAUUUCAGGAAAUAAAUAUGUUGAGCCUAGAUCAUAACUGCCUACUUAAGGACCAAAUGAUAGAAUUGCAAGGCGAAAUAAACAUAUUGAAUUAAAUAAAAUUAUGGUUGAAACAAUAUUCACAUGAAGUAUGGGUUGGGGUCUCGGUGUGACUAGCAGAUGAAAAAAAAACCCUGGAUAUUUAUAAGCUUCAGUAGUCAAGACACCAUGAACUUAGGCACAUUGCAAGUGACAAGCAUGAGCACUGAUAUCAGUGGAGGGUGGGAAAGUUACCAGUGCCUGCUUCUCUCUUCCAAGCCAAAUUGGCCACAUAGGGCUCAGAGGAAGAACUCUAGACAAUGUUCAAGGGCUUCGACUUGAAAAGUGUGAAGGUGUUUGUGAGUGUCUUCAUUUUACGUUUGGUAGUUAGGUAGGUACGUAGAGGUUGACUCUGAGGUCAAAGGAACAAUUUGAAUUGGCAAAGGUACAAAGCGUUUGGUUUUGUAGGGUUCUGGGCCUAGUGCAGUGGUUCUCAACUGGGAUUGAUUUUGGUGCUAGGAGAUAUUUGGCAAUAUCUUGGUGAUACUUUUUGGUGGUCACAUCUGGGGACUGGCAUCUAGUGUGUAGAGGCCAGGGAUAUUGUUGAACAUCCUAAAAUGUGCAGGACAGCCUUUCACAGUAAAGAAUUAUCCAGCCCAAAGUGUCGGUUGGGCCAAGGUUGGGCACUUUGACCUAGUAGUAUCAUUGUUACCAUCCUGCUCCCAACUGUCUCCUCAGCUUCAGGUCCCCAGUUAUAGUGAAGAACCAAUCUUUGGAUAUGUGCUUUUAAUUAAAAAUAGACAUUUUUAGAGAAAGGAGAAGAUAAGAGAGGGAGAGAAGUAUUAUUUAAUUGCCCCUCAUUGUGGGAAUUUACAUUCUGAGGCUAAAAAAAUGAAUGCAUUUGCUAGAAAAGAGAUUUAAGAAAAAUAUCCACAUUUUUAUGGAGCUUGUGAGUUGCCCCUAAGGUGAAAAGCUGAUGAGUCAGAAAUAAUUUAUAAGUCUUAGAAGUUGAAACCAGAAAACACAGAAAGGCUUCAGUUGGUUGAAAGCAAACUAUAAUUAUGACUUGCUGUCAUACAAUGUGCAUGUCAUGCAGUAUUUACUUAACAACUUUUAUCCAAGGAUCUCAAACCCUUUGCACAAAAACUUUAAUCAUUAAGAAACCCUCUUCUCUCUCUGUCUCUCUUUGCACAUCCCAUUGCACACCAAAGCUGCAGCUUCAGAUUUUCUCCAUGUAACCUAAAAAUAUUUGCUUCAUACCAUGUGAUUGUGGCUAUGAGAAUGUGUAAGAGGCUACAGUUUUUCUAACAGUCAGCUUCUCUUUGCUUUGACCUUUCUUUGUGGUUCUGUAGAAUUCUAAUGAAAAGCCUGCAUAGUUGUUUUAGUAAUGCCAUUUAAAACACUCUCAGGUUGUGCUCAGUGGACCUUGCUUUGUCAUUUUGGAGAGAGAUGGGGAUCAAGGUGAUCACUAUGCAAGUGAUUUGGUCCCAGUUUGUAAAUAAAGUCUGCAAACUUCAGCCACUGUGGGAAAAAGAACUACUGGAUGUCAUAUAGAAAGUGCAAGCAGCUUGAAAUAUGUUUACUAUGUUAUAUUUAUAGGCACCCUUAAUGUAACAGUUUUUUUUUUUAAAGGAAACCCUUUUUCUGAUUGCAAAGGUAAUUCAUGAUUAUUAUGGAGAAUUGGGAAAAUAUAGAAAGGGGGUAAGGAGAAAAUAGAAAUAAUCCAUAAGAAUCCAUAAUUUGGGUGCUCAGAAAUAACCAUCCUUUAAUAGUCUUUUCAUAAAGCACAACUUAGAAAGAUAUUUUUUAAUUUAACAAAUAUAUUUCUGCAUCUAUUUAUUUACCAAACCACAAAAACCACUGUGAGAUGUAUUGUCAGAACAAAUGACAUAGAAAAACAUUAUACAUUUAUUUGCUUUUGAUAUUAAUUUGAAGGAAAUGAAUAAAUAUGGUCUCACCAUCAUCUUGGAGAUGUUAAUAAUUUCAGUUUAAUCAGUAACCUCCAUGUUCCUGGUUUGAGUUUAAUAUAAACUCAAAAACGAAAAUAAUAUUUAUAUGUUUAGGACUUACGUCUUAAAGUUGAUUCAAAGACUUCAUUAAAGUACCUAUUAAUC